Molecule: RNA transcript, 1743 nt
Organism: Phasianus colchicus (ring-necked pheasant)
Lineage: Eukaryota; Metazoa; Chordata; Aves; Galliformes; Phasianidae
Source: RefSeq, a predicted model, not a curated record
CGGAGCUCCGCCCGCGCCGCCCCCACGCACGGCCGCGCACUAUUCCUAUGGAACACGCAGGCAUGUGUAUGUAUAUACACGCGUUCGCCUCGCAGACUGUCUGCGUGGGCGGUGUUUCGACGAGGAUGCCCGUGCCGGCGUGACUGUGUUUACUACGUGUUUUUAAAAGGCGGUUGAAUGGGCGUGAAGGAAGCCCCCCCUCCCCGCGUUCCCUGCUGCGGCCAGGCCUUCCGAGCUCGGCGGGAAUGCACCGCCGGGGAGAGUAAAGACUGGGGAGGGGGAUGGAGGAACCACGGUUCUGUCAGACUGAGGGGAAGGUUUGCAGACAGCGUUACGGUACUGCGGGAGCCGACCAUCUGAGUCCACAGACGAUCAUCAAAGAAAGGGUCCAGAGCAAAAAGCGCCUCGUAAAGUCUUCUGUGGUAAUCCUGAGAUCUGGCAGUGCCUUAAAUCACGCUGUGAGGUCGGCUGCCUUUUUAUAUCAUUAUGAUUUUUCUUCGAAUUUUUGUCUCCAAAUUGCAGUGGGACCACUUGAGGUUUAUUUGAAGCAAGAAGCAGCUCGGCUUGCUUGGCAUGCACUCGGUCCCUCUGGGUGCAUCCAUGGUCAGGAAUGUGGGAUCCCCUCUGCAGAUACUCCCCAACCUGACUGCAGACCGCUGCCACGUUGUUGGCCGUGUAACACCCUGCUCCCUGUGCCACUGUUUGCUGUCGUUGCGUGCCCAGUGGCAGUUUUCCCUCCCUCCUCUGGCUUUUUGUGACAAGUCUUUUCCUCCGCAUCUAGGAAAAACAUAAACGCCCACAAAGACAAACAAAGUGCAGAGUUUUACAGCCAGAGCAGGUUCCUUGUCUGCAGCCACCCUUUUGGACUUCAUCAUUAGCAAACUGCUGAGACUGGCCUCCCAGGGCCUUGGGCUGGGCCACCCCAAAGUGCCACUGACACCAAACCUGUGAUAGCACUUGGGAGUAAGGAAGGAUGGCUGGCCCUGCUUGGGGACAUGACCUCGGGUAAACUGAGGAAGCUGUGGAGAAAGAGCUGAGAAAUCAAGCAUAGAAAAACCUAAACUGAUUUUGCUAGACUGUUGUAAAGGUGUUGAAUUGCCAUGAACUACUCAGUCUGGUAGCACAGCAGCAAGCGCUUCCGUGGGCAAUUGACAAAGUUUUUAUCAUUCUGUACCACAGACUAUGAAGUUCUAGCACGAACUCUAUUGGUGCUAAAUGUUGUACCACGAUAUGAUAGAGAUUGUUCUGCUUCUGAGAGCUGACAUGGUGCUCCUGGAGCUGCCAUGGAAAGGAGGUGAAGAGAGCGAGAGCAACAAUGAUAUGAUUUCUGGGACUGCCUAUCAGCACAGCACACCUUCUCUCUGAGAGUUUUCAGUCACUGAGACACUACAAGAGAAGCCCUAUGGAAAUGGAUUUAUGGACAAGAGCAGGAGAGGAAACUACAUUUGCAGUAAAUAAAAGCAUCAUUCACAAAUGUCCUGGCAGUGAUCGUGGAAUUUGGAAAUACACAUCUCCUAGACAGGAGCAGCAGCAGCAUGGAGGGCUGCACCUCACAUCCUGGAGUCAGAGAUGGACUGCCAGUCGCAUGCCAAACACAGACAGAAGCAUCAUAUCCUGCAGUCUUGUGAAAACAGCUUCCAGUUCCCAAAUUAGGAACAGUCCCACCUCAGCCACUUAUAAAGUAAGUACAAGAAUGCAGUCAGUAAUCGCUGAAAGCACCGGUAAGAUUACUGACAAUUUUUA